UAAAUGAGGGAACAUAUGCAGAGGUGCUUUUAAAAAGCACAUGCCACCUUUUUUAUUAAUUAAUCUAUUAUAUAAAAUGAAGCAUUUAAUUAUAGUAAUAAUUUGAAGUAGUUUGAAGUACCACACUGAGGUGAGGACUUAAAAAUGAUAAGACGAGUUCCCUAUUUUAUAAGAAAAAUAAGCCAAAAUUAAAUAUUCUUUUGGAUAUAAAUUUCAACAGUGAGAUAGCUGCCUAGUGGAAAUGAAUAAUAUCCCAGCCACUAGUGUACAGGGUGUUUUGUGGCACAGGAUUAUGUAAUAUGGAACUGCUCAAGCAAAUAACUAGUCAUCACAACAGCAGUUCUUUGUAAUAACUGAAAAAGAAUAUUGUUUCUCGGAGAAGGAUGUCAAAAGAUCGGCCCAGCUCAGGGAGCAGUUUGCCCUACUAGCUCCUCGGACAGCUGUAAGAAGAGUCUCUGGCUCUUUAGAAUACUGAUCCCAUUGAAGAUACCACGCUGCAUGUGUCCUUAGUAGUCAUGUCUCCUUAGGCUCCUCUUGGACAUUCUGAGCAUGUGAGACCUGAGGACUGCAAACAGCUAUAAGAGGCUCCAAAUUCAUCAUAUCUUUCCCUUUGAGAAUCUGGCCAAGCUCCAGCUAAUCUACUUGGAUGGGUUGCCAGCUAUCUGGAGAAAAAGAUCUUCCUCAGAAGAAUAGGCUUGUUGCUUUACAGUGUUAGUGAUCCAUUCCCUUUGACGAUCCCUAGGUGGAGAUGGGGCAUGAGGAUCCUCCAGGGGAAAAGCUCACUACCACUGGGCAACAACCCUAGGUCAGGAGGUUCUGUCAAGAUACUUUCCUGGUCCCAGAUAGGAAGAUAAAGUCUCAAAAACAACCACCACACGUCAAGCUCUUCAUUGUUCCUACCUGCCAAAUCAUUAUACUUCCUACAAGCAGUGCAGAGAGCUGAGUCUUCAGCAGGUCCAAGAAAUUUGAACACACUGAAGGAAGUCAGCCUUCCCACCUGAAGAUCAACAUGCCUGGCACUCUAGCACUUGAGGAUAGCUGAAUGAAUGUGUCUUACCCAUUUCCAUGUUUCUCUUGCUAAUUUCUUUCGUGUGUGCCUUUGCCUCAUUUUCUCUUUUUGUUCACAAGAGUGGUCUGUGUCUUGUCUUAGACAUAUCUCUCAUUUUUCAUUUUGUUGCUAUUUCUCUUUGCUCUCCUAGAUGUGGCUCUUCUUUCACGCUUUAUUUCAUGUCUCCUUUUUGGGUCACAUGCUGUGUGCUUUUUGUCCUUUUCUUGUUCUGUCUACCUCUCCUUUCUCUGCCUACCUCUCUUUUCUCUUUGUGAACUGUGAUUAUUUGUUACCCCUUCCCCUUCUCGUUCGUUUUAAAUUUCACCUUUUUUCUGAGUCUGGCCUCCUUUCUGCUGUUUCUACUUUUUAUCUCACAUUUCUCAUUUCUGCAUUUCCUUUCUGCCUCUCUUGGGCUAUUCUCUCUCUCCUCCCCUGCGUGCCUCAGCAUCUCUUGCUGUUUGUGAUUUUCUAUUUCAGUAUUAAUCUCUGUUGGCUUGUAUUUGUUCUCUGCUUCUUCCCUUUCUACUCACCUUUGAGUAUUUCAGCCUCUUCAUGAAUCUAUCUCCCUCUCUUUGAUUUCAUGUAAUCUCUCCUUAAAUAUUUCUUUGCAUAUGUGGGCAAGUGUACGUGUGUGUGUGUCAUGUGUGGCAGAGGGGCUUCCUAACCCCUGCCUGAUAGGUGCAGAACGUCGGCUAUCAGAGCAAGCAUUGUGGAGCGGUUCCUUAUGCCAGGCUGCCAUGUGAGAUGAUCCAAGACCAAAACAAGGCCCUAGGCUGCAGUAAAACCCAAAACUCAAGUAGGGCAGAAGGUGGAAGGCUCAUAUGGAUAGAAGGCCCAAAGUAUAAGACAGAUGGUUUGAGACUUGAGACCCGAGGACUAAGAUGGAAAGCCCAUGUUCCAAGAUAGAUAGAAGCCUCAGGCCUGAAACCAACAAAAGCCUCAAGAGCCAAGAAAACAGAGGGUGGCCUGAAUUGGACCGAAGGCCUGAGUUGGAUGGAAGUCUCAAGGCUUGAGUUAGAAGUCUUAAGACCUGGGACAGGACACAUGGAAGGCCUAAGAACUGAGACUUGUGACACAAGGCCAACGAUCUAAGAUUAGCCCAGGGUUGUAGCUGGAAGACCUACAACCCAAGGAUGGAAGGCCCCUGUCACAAAGCCUACCUAGAUGGAUAGAGGACCCAAGCGAAAAAGGUAUCUCAAGACUAAAGGCUGGAAUCUGGAGGCCCAUGACCCAGAACCCAGGAAGGAUAGAAGCUUGAAGACCUGGGGAAAUCCCAAGAUGAGAACCCUAAACCCUACCUCUUUUCUAUUGUUUACACUUCUUACUCUUAGAUAUUUCCAGUUCUCCUGUUUAUCUUUAAGCCUGAUUCUUUUGAGAUGUACUUUUUGAUGUUGCCGGUUACCUUUAGAUUGACAGUAUUAUGCCUGGGCCAGUCUUGAGCCAGCUUUAAAUCACAGCUUUUACCUAUUUGUUAGGCUAUAGUGUUUUGUAAACUUCUGUUUCUAUUCACAUCUUCUCCACUUGAGAGAGACACCAAAAUCCAGUCAGUAUCUAAUCUGGCUUUUGUUAACUUCCCUCAGGAGCAGGCAUUCAUAUAGGUGAUACUGUAUUUCAGUCCUUUCUUUUGACCCCAGAAGCCCUAGACUGAGAAGAUAAAAUGGUCAGGUUGUUGGGGGAAAAAAAGUGCCAGGCUCUCUAGAGAAAAAUGUGAAGAGAUGCUCCAGGCCAAUGAGAAGAAUUAGACAAGAAAUACACAGAUGUGCCAGACUUCUGAGAAGCACCUGCCAGCAACAGCUUCCUUCUUUGAGCUUAGUCCAUCCCUCAUGAAAAAUGACUGACCACUGCUGGGCAGCAGGAGGGAUGAUGACCAACUAAUUCCCAAACCCCAGUCUCAUUGGUACCAGCCUUGGGAAACCACCCACACUUGAGCCACAAUUGGUUUUGAAGUGCAUUUACAAGUUUCUGGCAUCACUACCACUACUGAUUAAACAAGAAUAAGAGAACAUUUUAUCAUCAUCUGCUUUAUUCACAUAAAUGAAGUUGUGAUGAAUAAAUCUGCUUUUAUGCAGACACAAGGAAUUAAGUGGCUUCGUCAUUGUCCUUCUACAUCAAAGAUAAUUUAUUCCAAAAGCUAAGAUAAAUGGAAGACUCUUGAACUUGUGAACUGAUGUGAAAUGCAGAAUCUCUUUUGAGUCUUUGCUGUUUGGAAGAUUGAAAAAUAUUGUUCGGCAUGGGUGACCACCAGAAAGUAAUCUUAAGCCAUCUAGAUGUCACAAUUGAAACAAACUGGGGAGUUGGUUGCUAUUGUAAAAUAAAAU
RNAcentral lists this long non-coding RNA (3366 nucleotides) under Pan troglodytes (chimpanzee). RNAcentral's name for it is "long non-coding RNA NONPTRT018484". The stretch from base 679 to 804 matches the Rfam family "X-chromosome inactivation gene exon 4". Lineage: Eukaryota; Metazoa; Chordata; Mammalia; Primates; Hominidae. The record is from RNAcentral.